AAUUGAAGCAGAGGACAGUGGCGGACGGGUGAGUAACGCGUGAGGAACCUGCCUUUCAGAGGGGGAUAACAUUUGGAAACAGAUGCUAAUACCGCAUAAGAUUACAGUACCGCAUGAUACAGUGAUCAAAGGAGCAAUCCGCUGAAAGAUGGACUCGCGUCUGAUUAGAUAGUUGGUGGGGUAACGGCCUACCAAGUCGACGAUCAGUAGCCGGCUUGAGAGAGUGAACGGCCACAUUGGGACUGAGACACGGCCCAAACUCC
This 263-nucleotide ribosomal RNA is filed under the name uncultured Eubacteriales bacterium. Its description in RNAcentral is "uncultured Clostridiales bacterium partial 16S ribosomal RNA". It matches the Rfam family "Bacterial small subunit ribosomal RNA", at positions 78 to 339 of the family's 1533-position model. The record is from RNAcentral. Lineage: Bacteria; Bacillati; Bacillota; Clostridia; Eubacteriales.